RNAcentral lists this ribosomal RNA (468 nucleotides) under uncultured bacterium. RNAcentral's name for it is "partial 16S ribosomal RNA". It matches the Rfam family "Bacterial small subunit ribosomal RNA", at positions 28 to 507 of the family's 1533-position model. The record is from RNAcentral.
GACGAACGCUGGCGGCGUGCUUAACACAUGCAAGUCGAACGGAAAGGCCCUGCUUUUGUGGGGUGCUCGAGUGGCGAACGGGUGAGUAACACGUGAGUAACCUGCCCUUGACUUUGGGAUAACUUCAGGAAACUGGGGCUAAUACCGGAUAGGAGCUCCUGCUGCAUGGUGGGGGUUGGAAAGUUUCGGCGGUUGGGGAUGGACUCGGGGCUUAUCAGCUUGUUGGUGGGGUAGUGGCUUACCAGGGCUUUGACGGGUAGCCGGCCUGAGAGGGUGACCGGCCACAUUGGGACUGAGAUACGGCCCAGACUCCUACGGGAGGCAGCAGUGGGGAAUAUUGCACAAUGGGCGGAAGCCUGAUGCAGCAGCGCCGCGUGCGGGAUGACGGCCUUCGGGUUGUAAACCGCUUUCGCCUGUGACGAAGCGUGAGUGACGGUAAUGGGUAAAGAAGCACCGGCUAACUACGUG